Molecule: ribosomal RNA, 168 nt
Filed under: uncultured rumen bacterium
Lineage: Bacteria
Description: partial 16S ribosomal RNA
Rfam family: Bacterial small subunit ribosomal RNA
Source: RNAcentral
UACGGGAGGCAGCAGUGGGGGAUAUUGCGCAAUGGGGGCAACCCUGACGCAGCAACGCCGCGUGAAGGAUGAAGGUUUUCGGAUUGUAAACUUCUUUUAUCAGGGACGAAACAUGACGGUACCUGAUGAAUAAGCUCCGGCUAACUACGUGCCAGCAGCCGCGGUAAU